CUACGGGAGGCACCAGUGGGGAAUAUUGGACAAUGGGGGAAACCCUGAUCCAGCAAUGCCGCGUGUGUGAAGAAGGCCUGCGGGUUGUAAAGCACUUUCGGUUGGGAGGACUGCUUCUAGCACUAAUAUUGUUGGAAGUUGACGUUACCUUCAGAAGAAGCACCGGCUAACUCCGUGCCAGCAGCCGCGGUAAUACGGUGGGUGCAAGCGUUAAUCGGAAUUACUGGGCGUAAAGCGCGCGUGGGCGGCUAGAUCAGUCGGGUGUGAAAGCCCCGGGCUUAACCUGGGAACUGCAUCCGAUACUGUCUAGCUUGAGUACAGGAGAGGAGAGUGGAAUUCCACAUGUAGCGGUGAAAUGCGUAGAUAUGUGGAGGAACACCAAUGGCGAAGGCAGCUCUCUGGCCUGAUACCGACGCUGAGGUGCGAAAGCGUGGGGAGCAAACAGGAUUAGAUACCCGUGUAGUC
This 465-nucleotide ribosomal RNA is filed under the name uncultured bacterium. RNAcentral describes it as "partial 16S ribosomal RNA". It matches the Rfam family "Bacterial small subunit ribosomal RNA", at positions 339 to 795 of the family's 1533-position model. The record is from RNAcentral.